GAUGAAGAACGCAGCGAAAUGCGAUAAGUAAUGUGAAUUGCAGAAUUCAGUGAAUCAUCGAAUCUUUGAACGCACAUUGCGCCCGCCAGUAUUCUGCGGGCAUGCCUGUUCGAGCGUCAUUUCAACCAUCAAGCCCCCGGCUUGUGUUGGGGACCUGCGGCUGCCGCAGGCCCUGAAAACCAGUGGCGGGCUCGCUGUCACACCGAGCGUAGUAGAUUUUCAUCUCGCUCAGGGCGUGCUGCGGGUUCCGGCCGUAAAAAGCCUUAUUUACCCAAGGUUGACCUCGGAUCAGGUAGGAAGACCCGCUGAACUUAAGCAUAUCAAUAAGCGGAGGA
Molecule: unclassified non-coding RNA, 335 nt
Filed under: soil metagenome
Description: partial contains 5.8S ribosomal RNA, internal transcribed spacer 2, and large subunit ribosomal RNA
Rfam family: 5.8S ribosomal RNA (bases 1-119)
Source: RNAcentral